CUGUUGUGUGUUUUCAGAGGAGUUGAGAUGACAAACUGUUGCAGAAGUACAUUGAAGCAAAUAAGUUCAAAGGGGCGUAACUCCUAGAAAUAAAAUUGAAUCGUAAUUUCCCGUCGAUAUGCACAACUACAUAGUAUGUCCUUAUUAUCUGAAAAGGUUUCAUGAAAUUCUGUUGUGUAGUUUCAGAGGAGUUGCGAUGACAAACU
Molecule: long non-coding RNA, 206 nt
Filed under: Mytilus galloprovincialis (Mediterranean mussel)
Lineage: Eukaryota; Metazoa; Mollusca; Bivalvia; Mytilida; Mytilidae
Source: RNAcentral